UCCGUUGGUGAACCAGCGGAGGGAUCAUUACUGAGUUACCGCUCUACAACCCUUUGUGAACAUACCUAACCGUUGCUUCGGCGGGCAGGGGAAGCCUCUCGCGGGCCUCCCCUCCCGGCGCCGGCCCCACCACGGGGACGGGGCGCCCGCCGGAGGAAACCAAACUCUAUUUACACGACGUCUCUUCUGAGUGGCACAAGCAAAUAAUUAAAACUUUUAACAACGGAUCUCUUGGUUCUGGCAUCGAUGAAGAACGCAGCGAAAUGCGAUAAGUAAUGUGAAUUGCAGAAUUCAGUGAAUCAUCGAAUCUUUGAACGCACAUUGCGCUCGCCAGCAUUCUGGCGAGCAUGCCUGUUCGAGCGUCAUUUCAACCCUCAAGCACCGCUUGGUUUUGGGGCCCCACGGCAGACGUGGGCCCUUAAAGGUAGUGGCGGACCCUCCCGGAGCCUCCUUUGCGUAGUAACUAACGUCUCGCACUGGGAUCCGGAGGGACUCUUGCCGUAAAACCCCCAAAUUCUUUACAGGUUGACCUCGGAUCAGGUAGGAAUACCCGCUGAACUUAAGCA
Molecule: ribosomal RNA, 566 nt
Filed under: Colletotrichum acutatum
Lineage: Eukaryota; Fungi; Ascomycota; Sordariomycetes; Glomerellales; Glomerellaceae
Description: eukaryotic LSU rRNA
Rfam family: 5.8S ribosomal RNA (bases 212-365)
Source: RNAcentral